GGCUGGGACACAGAGUCAAUCAAGCACACCCAACCCCCAGCAGUGUGGGUAUCUGCAGUGAUGGGCUGGGACACAGAGUCAAUCAGGCACACCCAACCCCCAGCAGUGUGGGUAUCUGCAGUGAUGGGCUGGGACACAGAGUCAAUCAGGCACACCCAACCCCCAGCAGUGUGGGUAUCUGCAGUGAUGGGCUGGGACACAGAGUCAAUCAGGCACACCCAACCCCCAGCAGUGUGGGUAUCUGAGGUGAUGGUCUAAUGAGAGCCCAAGCCAGUGGACAGACACAGGGGUAAUUAAAGGUUCACACAUGGGGAGUAAUGUCUCCAGUCCUGAGAGGCAAGGUGCGGCAAAUGCAGUCAUUAUCAGCACCUCAUUAUGCAAAACCUGAUGAGCUCCGUCUCUCCACAUUAAUCAAAGCAGACAGGCAGGCAGAUGCAUGCAUACUAUGGAAAAUUGGCAGCUGUGUGUUUCCAAUGAAGCAGUACAUCUAUGAUGGAAAUACUGCCUUGGGUCCAUAUUGAAUUGCAUAUAUUCUUCCGAGUUUCACAUUGGAAUUUUGGGGCUCUCUUGUUAUUCUAAGCAGUUGGAUGCGGCUUAAGUACAGUGUAAGAUACAACACACUGAGGCCAUUGUUGUCCCAUUGAAUAUGGGAGACAGAAAGAGUGUGACUAUUGAAUCUCAUGGCUCAGAGCUGGUAGGUGGGAGGACGGUGCAGAUUUUCUAGCCAGGAUCGUAGUGGGGGGGCUUGGCUGAACUCCCUAUGUUCUGAAAUGCCAUUAUAGUAGGAGAUUCAGUCAUUCCUCACUGAGUUGUAUGCACACUCACUCCUCUGUCCUCUACCACUGCAGAAAUCCACUCCAAAUCUCCUCAGGUGGGAGAUUUAAAAAGUGCACACACAUACACAAAAGCUUAGUCAAGUUACUCAUGGUUUAGCAUUUUGAAAGCCUCCGUAAUAUGGCCUUGAAUAUUGAUUGGGUUUGUUGGUUCUGUUGAAGUCCUUCCGUUGUUUUCAGUGUAUUAAAAUAGUUAUGGUUGAGGAUCAUUGGAGAUUCAUUGGCUUUGUUUUUUUUUGGUAUCAUCAAAGUAUUUAUUCUUUCCGUGGCUGUGCAGCAGGAAUGGAAUUUUUUUUAUGUUUUUUCUAAAAUCAUUAAAUUGAUUUUGUGUGUAACUAACUUUUUGUUUUUUUUAAAGCAAAAAAAAAACCCGAAUAGACAUUUUCCCAUAAAAAGUAUUGAUUUAAUAUUUAUUCACUUAUUGUUAUCCAUUUUAAAAUGUUCUCUCCCUCACACCACACACACAUACACUUCAAAUGCACAGAAACAGAACAUUGAACAGUCUUUUAACAUCAAACUUGAACAAUCACACGCACACCUCUCUGUCCCUCCCUCGCCUUAGAAUCCCUCAUCAGAAACUGAAUUGUAUGAUGCAGAUCACCUCCUUGUGGCACUUGGAGACUUUGUGGUCCUUGAUGGUGUCAAAUUUUUUGGUGCCCACCAUAAAGCUGUUUGUCUUGCUCCUGGCCGAAGCGUGUUACCGACAGUGGGAGCAAAACACUGACUGACUGACUGACUGACUGACUGACGGUAGUUUUUGAUGAAAGUAGGCUAAUCACGUAAUUCCUCACUGUUGGCUCUUCUUCACUUCUCAUUGAGAAAUCCCCUUUUAGCUUUUUGUUCAUGAACUCAGUUGUCUCCUAGCCUAGGCCUACUGACAUCAGCUGCUGUUUUUACAUCCGCGAUGUAAAGCCACACGGUUGUUAAAACAGAUUAGGUUACUCAACUUUGUAAAUGAACAAUUGACUGAGAAGGAAGCACUCUCCAGCUUUUGAAUUUUGCGUCCAAUCAAAUUGGCGUUCAAUGGCCCGAACCUUACUCUGAUUCGGUUCGAGAUGCAGGAGGAGAUGCAACUAACUUUUUACCUGACCGCUAGUAAGUAGCAACACUUCUUAAGUAGGCUCCUGAGGACUGAGUUGACUUUUUCACUGAACAAUUCAAUUGCGUCAAUUACAGUUGCAAUCGGAAAUAUUCAACCCCCAAAAAGAUUGUAAUGAUUUACCAAUGAAAGUUUUUUUCAAAGAGCUAGAUUUUGCUUUGGAUAACUUCCUUAUCAGUUGAGUGAAACAUAAAAUCAACAAAGAAAAUGUAUGAUGUAUUUGUGUGUAACAGAUAAAUAUUUUUUGCCUUUUUGUCAUAUAUUUGUAUUAUCCUUGACACAUCACUAUAAUGUCUUUUGAGGUGAGGGGGUUGAAUAUUUACGAUUGCAACUGUAUGUUUGUAAAAAGCACCCUUUGUUCAUCCGCCACCCUGGUUGGUUGGUUGAUCGAUCACAUUCACUGGGUUCAUCAGACUUUAGACUGUAGUAUUUUUGUACAUAUAGUCCAUCAGACUCCAUAAGCUCUCAAUAGCAUAAUUUGUCAUCAGAACAUUAUGGUGGAGGGUGUAUUUGUAUUGCAAAACACACAUCUUAUUUUGUCAUUUUGUGUGUUUGAUACCUAUACUAAUAGUGCAAAAUCCAUUUUAAGGAUUUAACUUUUAACACCCAGCACCCGUGGAACCUCAUGAUCAGAUAAACAGGCCUGAUCCCAGAUCAGGCAGUGCAGUGGUCACGAGAGGGGCUUCAGUUCCAGGCUUCAGUGCUGCAGUGCAGUGGUCACGAGAGGGGCUUCAGUUCCAGUUCCAGGCUUCAGUGCUGCAGUGCAGUGCAGUGCAGUG
Clupea harengus (Atlantic herring) is the source of this 2711-nucleotide long non-coding RNA. The record is from Ensembl. Lineage: Eukaryota; Metazoa; Chordata; Actinopteri; Clupeiformes; Clupeidae.